UUUGUACACACCGCCCGUCGCUACUACCGAUUGAAUGGCUUAGUGAGGCCUUCGGACUGGCUCAGGGAGGUCGGCAACGACCACCCAGAGCCGGAAAGUUCGUCAAACUACGUCAUUUAGAGGAAGUAAAAGUCGUAACAAGGUUUCCGUAGGUGAACCUGCGGAAGGAUCAUUACUGAAAUGUAAUAACUUCUAUUGAAAGGUUCCAGAGUAGGCGCUACAACGCCGAAAUGACCUUCUCACCCCUGUGUACUCACUAUGUUGCUUUGGCGGGUCGACCUGGUUCCGACCCAGGCGGCCGGCGCCCCCAGCCUUAACUGGCCAGGACGCCCGGCUAAGUGCCCGCCAGUAUACAAAACUCAAGAAUUCAUAUUGUGAAGUCCUGAUAUAUCAUUUAAUUGAUUUAAAACUUUCAACAACGGAUCUCUUGGUUCUGGCAUCGAUGAAGAACGCAGCGAAAUGCGAUAAGUAAUGUGAAUUGCAGAAUUCAGUGAAUCAUCGAAUCUUUGAACGCACAUUGCGCCCUCUGGUAUUCCGGAGGGCAUGCCUGUUCGAGCGUCAUUUCAACCCUCAAGCUCUGCUUGGUAUUGGGCAACGUCCGCUGCCGGACGUGCCUUGAAGACCUCGGCGACGGCGUCCUAGCCUCGAGCGUAGUAGUAAAAUAUCUCGCUUUGGAGUGCUGGGCGACGGCCGCCGGACAAUCGACCUUCGGUCUAUUUUUCCAAGGUUGACCUCGGAUCAGGUAGGGAUACCCGCUGAACUUAAGCAUAUCAAUAAGGCGGAGGAAAAGAAACCAACAGGGAUUGCCUUAGUAACGGCGAGUGAAGCGGCAAUAGCUCAAAUUUGAAAGCUGGCGUCUUCGACGUCCGCGUUGUAAUUUGU
Molecule: ribosomal RNA, 882 nt
Filed under: Phyllosticta capitalensis
Lineage: Eukaryota; Fungi; Ascomycota; Dothideomycetes; Botryosphaeriales; Phyllostictaceae
Description: eukaryotic LSU rRNA
Rfam family: Eukaryotic small subunit ribosomal RNA (bases 1-175)
Source: RNAcentral